CCCCUGCAGGGACUGGCAAAUAGAAAGCCAACAACAUUGUAUCUAAAACUAAACAGUUUUGCUGAGAAUAAUGGGGCUCUGGACUGCGGCUUCUGUGAAGCUUAAUGACAGAAUUGGCAGCACAGGAGGUUUUCUUCUUGUGGCGGCCCAUGCUCCUCGGGCCUUGGGCACACUGCCUGGCUCCCUGUUCGAUCUUGUGAAACUCGGAUGAUGGGUUACUUCCCCUCUUCUUAAUAAGAUUAACGAGAAGUAUGCAGUGCCUUUCGAAUGACAUUUAUCCAAGGUUAUGAUAACAAACAACUGUCCCUCCAGUGAUGCAUUUGUUCCGCACCUCCCAGCCCAAGGCCCUGCUCUUGCUUUUCUUUCAAAUCUCAUUUAGUCUCAGUCAUCUCGGCCAGAAAGUUCCUGCUUCAGAGCAGAAGUAUCUUCUCCUAUAUGAAAAGGAGUACCAAGUACUCAAGUGAAGACGGACUGACCUGUUUCCAGGAGAAGCCUUUCUCAACUCACCAGACCACCUUUUGAUUUGCACCAAAUGGAAACCUGGGGAUCUGAAAUUACA
This is a long non-coding RNA of Cervus elaphus (red deer), 559 nucleotides long. RefSeq lists it as uncharacterized. The record is from RefSeq and is a predicted model, not a curated record. The transcript is spliced from 3 exons. NCBI's taxonomy places the organism in Eukaryota, Metazoa, Chordata, Mammalia, Artiodactyla, Cervidae.